AACGAACGCUGGCGGCAGGCCUAACACAUGCAAGUCGAGCGCCCCGCAAGGGGAGCGGCGGACGGGUGAGUAACACGUGGGAACGUACCCUUUGCUACGGAAUAGUCUCGGGAAACUGGGGGUAAUACCGUAUGUGCCCUUCGGGGGAAAGGAUUUAUCGGCAAAGGAUCGGCCCGCGUUGGAUUAGGUAGUUGGUGGGGUAAUGGCCUACCAAGCCGACGAUCCAUAGCUGGUUUGAGAGGAUGAUCAGCCACACUGGGACUGAGACACGGCCCAGACUCCUACGGGAGGCAGCAGUGGGGAAUCUUAGACAAUGGGCGCAAGCCUGAUCUAGCCAUGCCGCGUGAGCGAUGAAGGCCUUAGGGUUGUAAAGCUCUUUCAGUGGGAAGGAUAAUGACUGUACCCACAGAAGAAGCCCGGCUAACUCCGUG
This 431-nucleotide ribosomal RNA is filed under the name uncultured bacterium. Its description in RNAcentral is "bacterial SSU rRNA". It matches the Rfam family "Bacterial small subunit ribosomal RNA", at positions 29 to 507 of the family's 1533-position model. The record is from RNAcentral.